ACCCAGCUGGCUCAAUUGGGAGAGCAUGUGACUCUUGACCUCAAGGUCAUGAAUUUGAGCCCCAUGUUGGGUA
This 73-nucleotide transfer RNA is filed under the name Mustela putorius furo (domestic ferret). It matches the Rfam family "tRNA". Rfam says of the family: Transfer RNA (tRNA) molecules are approximately 80 nucleotides in length. The record is from Rfam by way of RNAcentral. Lineage: Eukaryota; Metazoa; Chordata; Mammalia; Carnivora; Mustelidae.